Molecule: ribosomal RNA, 944 nt
Filed under: Sphaeropsis visci
Lineage: Eukaryota; Fungi; Ascomycota; Dothideomycetes; Botryosphaeriales; Botryosphaeriaceae
Description: SSU rRNA
Rfam family: Eukaryotic small subunit ribosomal RNA
Source: RNAcentral
CUAUACUGUGAAACUGCGAAUGGCUCAUUAAAUCAGUUAUCGUUUAUUUGAUAGUACCUUACUACUUGGAUAACCGUGGUAAUUCUAGAGCUAAUACAUGCUAAAAACCUCGACUUCGGAAGGGGUGUAUUUAUUAGAUAAAAAACCAAUGCCCUUCGGGGCUCCUUGGUGAAUCAUGAUAACUUAACGAAUCGCAUGGCCUUGCGCCGGCGAUGGUUCAUUCAAAUUUCUGCCCUAUCAACUUUCGAUGGUAGCAUAGUGGGCUACCAUGGUAUCAACGGGUAACGGGGAAUUAGGGUUCUAUUCCGGAGAGGGAGCCUGAGAAACGGCUACCACAUCCAAGGAAGGCAGCAGGCGCGCAAAUUACCCAAUCCCGACACGGGGAGGUAGUGACAAUAAAUACUGAUACAGGGCUCUUUUGGGUCUUGUAAUUGGAAUGAGUACAAUUUAAAUACCUUAACGAGGAACAAUUGGAGGGCAAGUCUGGUGCCAGCAGCCGCGGUAAUUCCAGCUCCAAUAGCGUAUAUUAAAGUUGUUGCAGUUAAAAAGCUCGUAGUUGAACCUUGGGCCUGGCUGGCCGGUCUGCCUCACCGCAUGUACUGGUUCGGCCGGGCCUUUCCUCCUGGGGAUCCGCAUGCCCUUCACUGGGCGUGUUGGGGAACCAGGACUUUUACUUUGAAAAAAUUAGAGUGUUCAAAGCAGGCCUUUGCUCGAAUACAUUAGCAUGGAAUAAUAGAAUAGGACGUGCGGUCCUAUUUUGUUGGUUUCUAGGACCGCCGUAAUGAUUAAUAGGGAUAGUCGGGGGCAUCAGUAUUCAGUUGUCAGAGGUGAAAUUCUUGGAUUUACUGAAGACUAACUACUGCGAAAGCAUUUGCCAAGGAUGUUUUCAUUAAUCAGUGAACGAAAGUUAGGGGAUCGAAGACGAUCAGAUACCGUCGUAGUCU